RNAcentral lists this ribosomal RNA (897 nucleotides) under Staphylococcus aureus. RNAcentral's name for it is "partial 23S ribosomal RNA". It matches the Rfam family "Bacterial large subunit ribosomal RNA", at positions 513 to 1418 of the family's 2925-position model. The record is from RNAcentral. Lineage: Bacteria; Bacillati; Bacillota; Bacilli; Caryophanales; Staphylococcaceae.
GGUGAAAAGCACCCCGGAAGGGGAGUGAAAUAGAACCUGAAACCGUGUGCUUACAAGUAGUCAGAGCCCGUUAAUGGGUGAUGGCGUGCCUUUUGUAGAAUGAACCGGCGAGUUACGAUUUGAUGCAAGGUUAAGCAGUAAAUGUGGAGCCGUAGCGAAAGCGAGUCUGAAUAGGGCGUUUAGUAUUUGGUCGUAGACCCGAAACCAGGUGAUCUACCCUUGGUCAGGUUGAAGUUCAGGUAACACUGAAUGGAGGACCGAACCGACUUACGUUGAAAAGUGAGCGGAUGAACUGAGGGUAGCGGAGAAAUUCCAAUCGAACCUGGAGAUAGCUGGUUCUCUCCGAAAUAGCUUUAGGGCUAGCCUCAAGUGAUGAUUAUUGGAGGUAGAGCACUGUUUGGACGAGGGGCCCCUCUCGGGUUACCGAAUUCAGACAAACUCCGAAUGCCAAUUAAUUUAACUUGGGAGUCAGAACAUGGGUGAUAAGGUCCGUGUUCGAAAGGGAAACAGCCCAGACCACCAGCUAAGGUCCCAAAAUAUAUGUUAAGUGGAAAAGGAUGUGGCGUUGCCCAGACAACUAGGAUGUUGGCUUAGAAGCAGCCAUCAUUUAAAGAGUGCGUAAUAGCUCACUAGUCGAGUGACACUGCGCCGAAAAUGUACCGGGGCUAAACAUAUUACCGAAGCUGUGGAUUGUCCUUUGGACAAUGGUAGGAGAGCGUUCUAAGGGCGUUGAAGCAUGAUCGUAAGGACAUGUGGAGCGCUUAGAAGUGAGAAUGCCGGUGUGAGUAGCGAAAGACGGGUGAGAAUCCCGUCCACCGAUUGACUAAGGUUUCCAGAGGAAGGCUCGUCCGCUCUGGGUUAGUCGGGUCCUAAGCUGAGGCCGACAGGCGUAGGCGA